This is a non-coding RNA of Camellia sinensis, 702 nucleotides long. The record is from RefSeq and is a predicted model, not a curated record. NCBI's taxonomy places the organism in Eukaryota, Viridiplantae, Streptophyta, Magnoliopsida, Ericales, Theaceae.
AUUUCAUAAACCACGCAUCUAUUUUUGAUGGAAUAAUUUCACAUUACCGUCCCAUUUAUUAAUUAUGAUUUAUUUAUUUAUUUAUUUUCAUAUUUUUUUGUCUUUACAUACACCCAGACAAGUUCAGUCUCUUGCUCUCUCUGUCUCUGUCUCUCUCUCUCACACAGACUCACCGUCACUGAUUCGCCGUUCAUAGUCACCGUCGGUCUUCUAUUGUCAAUCUUCCACCGUCGCUCACUGUCCAUCUUCCACUGUCGCUCACCGUCGAUCUUCUACCGUCAAUCUUCCACUGUCGAACAUCAUUACAUUGCUACCGCCGCUCGCAUCGCAUCGUUUCAACAUUGAGUGAAAGACAAGGGUUGGUGCCUUUAUCCCAACAAGAAUGCACCAACAAAGUCGGUUCAUGAUACCUUUAGUCAAGAUUCUUCACCAGGUCAAGAAUGCAAACUGAACAUGACAAAUGGAGAUAGAACUUUGCACUCUGUUUUGCUUGAUGGUACAUGGAACAACUCUGCUGCCAUGUUCAGACGUUUGAAGGAUCGAGCAAAUGAAAUCUGGGGAGAGGACCUUCCUUGCAUAUCUCUUGCCACUGGUGCAUUUGCAAUGCAUAAACUGCGAUUGGUUUUUGAUGACGUUUGGAAGCAUACUUGGAAAUCAAGAUUAAGUUUGAAUUUUUUUUUUCUUCUGAAUGGAUACUUAGUU